GCGGACGUGUCCGAGUGGUUAAGGAGAACGAUUAGAAAGCGCCUAGAUAUCGUUUGGGCUCUGCCCGCACAGGUUCGAAUCCUGUCGUCCGCG
RNAcentral lists this transfer RNA (93 nucleotides) under Cyanidioschyzon merolae strain 10D. It matches the Rfam family "tRNA". Rfam says of the family: Transfer RNA (tRNA) molecules are approximately 80 nucleotides in length. Their secondary structure includes four short double-helical elements and three loops (D, anti-codon, and T loops). RNAcentral also lists the same sequence under 1 other name. Lineage: Eukaryota; Rhodophyta; Bangiophyceae; Cyanidiales; Cyanidiaceae. The record is from Rfam by way of RNAcentral.